GAUGAACGCUGGCGGCGUGCCUAAUACAUGCAAGUCGAGCGAACAGACGAGGAGCUUGCUCCUCUGACGUUAGCGGCGGACGGGGGAGUAACACGUGGAUAACCUACCUAUAAGACUGGGAUAACUUCGGGAAACCGGAGCUAAUACCGGAUAAUAUAUUGAACCGCAUGGUUCAAUAGUGAAAGACGGUUUUGCUGUCACUUAUAGAUGGAUCCGCGCCGCAUUAGCUAGUUGGUAAGGUAACGGCUUACCAAGGCAACGAUGCGUAGCCGACCUGAGAGGGUGAUCGGCCACCAUGGAACUGAGACACGGUCCAGCCUCCUACGGGAGGCAGCAGUAGGGAAUCUUCCGCAAUGGGCGAAAGCUUGACGGAGCAACGACGCGUGAGUGAUGAAGGUCUUCGGAUCGUAAAACUCUGUUAUUAGGGAAGAACCAAUGUGUAAGUAACUAUGCACGUCUUGACGGUACCUAAUCAGAAAGCCACGGCUAACUACGUG
This 497-nucleotide ribosomal RNA is filed under the name uncultured bacterium. RNAcentral's name for it is "partial 16S ribosomal RNA". It matches the Rfam family "Bacterial small subunit ribosomal RNA", at positions 28 to 507 of the family's 1533-position model. The record is from RNAcentral.